Pristis pectinata (smalltooth sawfish) is the source of this 1873-nucleotide long non-coding RNA. RefSeq lists it as uncharacterized. The record is from RefSeq and is a predicted model, not a curated record. The transcript is spliced from 5 exons. NCBI's taxonomy places the organism in Eukaryota, Metazoa, Chordata, Chondrichthyes, Rhinopristiformes, Pristidae.
AGAGACAGUAUUCUUCAUCAUUUGCAGAACCAGGAACAGCUAAACAAUCUAUGGCCUACUUUCUGAAGGCUGACGACUAGGUUAUUGGAACAAAAGGAGAGACAAGAGACAAAGACCACUGUGACCCAUCCUGAUGACCCUGGGGCCCAGGAAACAUCACUUCCUGUGAUAACCAUCAUGAUAUUCCCACUUGCAGCGCUAACAGAAUGGAACUGGCAGUUCAAGAGGAAUUGGAGCAGUAUUUACAAGCCCUCAGAAACUGCCAGAUUAAGGAGGAGCGCAUUGAAAGGACUGUGCUGAAUACAGAAAACCCACUGCAAUCCCCAGUAAAUCUGAAAACUGGUUUGUCGGAACACAUGAAGAUUGGGAUUAAGUUCCAGAAAUUUGAACCACUAACUGUGAAAUAAUAACAGUUGACACUAGAGACUCAUUAAAUAAUAAAACAAAACAUCACCACUACGUCUUUGAACAGGAAGCACCUUUUAGGUAAUCACAGCAAAACAUUCUGGAUUGUUAUUUGCUAAGACUCCUCAUUUAUCUUUUGAAAAUGCAUUGAGGAAGUUGACUUUUGGACAACGUUGUAAGACAGCGACUACAGACUUCCCCAAAUCGAUAUCCAUUAAAAAAGUCCUGAGAUGGGAACGAUUGAUAAUCAGAUUCCAAAUUGAUAACACAAACAUCUGUAUCUUCAAAUGGACAAAAAAACUAGACUUGUGCGAAUGAUUCACAGUUACAAAGGAUCAAAGAUAAUCACUGGAUUUAUCGUGAGAAUCAACACAGAGCUAUCAUGCAGUCUUCACUGUGAUCUCAAUGUAGAAGGUGUUGCUUUACUGGAUGACAUUCCUUUGAUUGGCAGGUAGCCCUCUGUUGACAAACAGUUAUCACCAUGGGCCUGAAAAACUUCUUUGUUAUUUUCCUAUUUUGAUUACACAGUGUUAAUGGUUUUUCAUGUCAAGUUUGUAAAUAGUUCAUGAUGUCUUUGAGUCUGAUGUUUGCAUUUAAAAUUUUCUGCAGCUUUAUGAACAGAAAUUUUGCUAAAUUAUGGUGGGGCUGUUAAUUAUUGUUAUCUGAUCCAUAAUUUUUUUUAAAUAUCUGGAAAUGAUCUGCAAACGCAUAUGUGCGAUGCAGAUGGAACUUCCGCAUAUGGAUGAAUGUACUACCAGUAAUAACUUUAUUAGUUUUAAAGAAAUCUAAUUUUAGAACAUUGACAGUCUGAAUUGAAAGUCAUACAGCAUCAAGACACCUCUGUGCUUCAGUUUCUUUUAAUUAUGUGAAUAAAAUACUUAGUUCAUAAUUUAUGGAUUUUAUCCAGAUUUCACCAUCUUCUAUUCCCUCUGUGCCCUUCAAUUCCAUUUGGCUUGCAGUAGAAAAAAGUCUCUGUUAUUUAUAAUUUUUUUUACCGUUCAACAGUAUGCACAUAUCAACAGCUUCAAUUUUCAUAUGAAUUCAGAUUGUUUAAACAUUACAGGGUGAAGUUUCUUUGAUUCUGAUGUAAUUGUAACAUUAUAAUCACAGCAGGAAGAGUUCUUCUGAUCACUGAAAACAUAUGCAGAUCUUAAAACAAAGUUCUUACAAUUUGUUAGGAAUAUUAAUCAGAAGAAAUCUCGUGCAUGCAUUACAAUUUUGAAAUGCAUUAUGAUUCGGAAGAUAAACCCCUACUGUCAGAUUGUUGUUAGUUUGUAUUUAUUUGUUAUGCCCAGGCACAUUUAAGAAUUAUACUUUUCAUUAAUGAUCUGCUGAAUUCAUCUGUAAUUCCCUAUUUGUAAAUAUUUGUGUUUAAAAUGUUGUUGACAGCAUAUUAAUUAAUACAUUUUAUUUCUGUGAACAAUUGUUGUGUUUUAUCCCCUGAAUUAAAUUUUAAUUUAUAGCAAAA